CCAGGAUUUUGAAUGGUUUGGCCGCCUUACAUUUUCAAAUAUAAAUGAAGAAUUUGGAGGCCCAGCUAGUCAGUGACAAACUAAAAGGAAGAAGGUGAUAUACCAUGCCAUUAAUUUUCUUUUCAGUUCCCAUGAUUUGGCUGUUUUAAGUGGUGGAAUGAUAAUGUAUUAUGUUUGUUUGUUGAACCUCGGGAAUAGCUUUGCAAAUAACAAACUUCAGUACAAAGAUGUCAAAGUUUUGAUAUAAACUGUACUAACUUAUAAUUGCAUAUUAUAAUUAUAGUGAACUAGAUAGGCGCUCACAUGCUAGUGGUCUGCGGUGACAUUUUAAGCUCUUGUUUAUUGUCUUUAAUGCCAGUGUGUAGCAGCCAGCAAAAUUAGCUCUACUUCUUGGUGUGAAUUUAUGAUGGUUAUUUAGUUUAUUUUAUUUUUACACUGCAUCAUGCUAUGUUUCAUGAGUAUAAACAUGAUAUGCUUGGCAUGCAGUUUUGGGGGAAAAAGGAAGCAUCUCAUGUGUAAAUUUCGUUUGACCUUGCAUUUUACUGCUUACUAUUUACUAUACAUCCAGAAUUGUACUUGGAAGUGUCAUUAUAGUUCUUUAGAAGUGGGCUUUUGUGUCCAUCAGCCAUGAUUUUGUAGAGAUGCCAGUUGAAUAAAUCUGAUUCUCUAAUCUCGCAAGGAUAAUGAUUAACUUCUGUAUAUAUAGAUACUCCUACAGCAUGUAUAAAAAAGAUAAUUUGAGUCAUUUCUCAUAAUUGGAUCCUCUUUCUUUCAUGUACAUGAAUUAUUUCAGCUUAUUUGUAUGUAGAAAGCCUUGGUUUUAUUUUCUAGGCUAAUUCAACUUGUGCAAGAUGUAGGAAAGUGAACCAAUAAAAAUUGUUUAUUGAACCAAAUGUUUGUAGUGUUUCACUGGAUUAAAUCUGUGGGCUUGUCACUAAUCGGAUACCAUUUAGGGGACCUUAAUUUCUCCAGCUAGUUUCCCUCUUAUUUUGUGUAGUACAUGUAGAGAGCUUAGAAGGAAAAGCAAGCUCAAAUACAAGCUAAUUUAAUUCACUGGCUAGUACAGUAACUUAGCGCAUUCAACCUGCUUAUACCAAUUUGCUUAUUGCCGUAACUUAUAUCACUCUAUUUCUCGAUCCUGCUUGAAGGUGCAACUGUAACUUUGCAUAUGUGCUUGUUCAAUACAGUAGCUUCAAAAUGCGCUUGUGUAAUAUUUAGUGUGUGAUUGUGGCCUCGUGCUUGUGUUUCCAAAUGCAGAAGACAAUCAAAUGGUCAUCAAUUCUGUUUGCUUUACUUCGGUACAGGAAUAGCCUCACUACAAGAUAGGUACACCUACUAAUUACUGUUGAUAUUUGUUAAUAUCUGUACAGACUUUGCAAACUAUAUUUGGAUGAGAAGUAAGAGAAGCUUGCUACUGUCAAGAUGAUAAAAAAUGGACAUGUUCUCUACUAAAGUAGAGAUUACUCUAGAGAUGGUACUAGUUGCUCUAUGUUUCAGAACAUAUACGGCUGUUGUAUGUGGUUGUUGUCACAUCUUCCUGUUUAUAGACUUUGCACAUUACAUUUUGAUGAGAAGAUAAGCUUGCUACUGUUAAGAUGAUAAAAAAUGGACACCUUCUCUACUAUAGUAGAGAUUAGUCUAGAGAAAAUAUGCGGCUGUUGUAUGUGAUUGUUGUAACAUCUUCCUUAAGUUCUGAAUGCUGCUGUUGUAUGUAACAUCUUACGAUCUAUGGCAGCUGCAGAUUUCCCAAAGGUGAACAAGUUCACUAAGGUUUGGAAGAUUUUCAAGCUGAUGAAGAUUUGGAAGACCUACAAUGUCCUGCGUCUUGUUUGUUGAACCUAGACAUUUGCUCUGCUCAUUUUGGUGGUGGUUUGGCUGUGUGGCACACAUCUAGAAGCAUAUGUACAUCUUUUGUGGCACUACUUUAGUUUGGUUGUGGGGUAAACAUAUAUAUGUACUCCUUUCGUGGCACAACCUCUACAUAUAUUGUCGUUAUGUUUAUCAAAUGAAGUUUAAGGUUUUCGAUGAGGCCUAUAUGUUACAUUGGUUGAAGUGCGUGUAUAAAUUGUGUGAUAUGUCUUGAUUGUCUGGACAUAUAUAAUGGAUGGAUAUUACAUAAUAGCGAUGCCUAGAACAUUUCGCUAGUGAAAUUAACA
Molecule: long non-coding RNA, 2156 nt
Filed under: Triticum aestivum (bread wheat)
Lineage: Eukaryota; Viridiplantae; Streptophyta; Magnoliopsida; Poales; Poaceae
Description: long non-coding RNA (TAES_LNC020656)
Source: RNAcentral